Molecule: small RNA, 76 nt
Filed under: Flavobacterium flevense
Lineage: Bacteria; Pseudomonadati; Bacteroidota; Flavobacteriia; Flavobacteriales; Flavobacteriaceae
Description: Flavo-1 RNA
Rfam family: Flavo-1 RNA
Source: RNAcentral
UGAUAGCCCUGAUAGAAGCGACAUCCUUUUUCAAGUUUUUUACUUGAAAAAGAUACAGCGGAUAGCAGGAAACAGC